RNAcentral lists this ribosomal RNA (120 nucleotides) under uncultured bacterium. Its description in RNAcentral is "partial 16S ribosomal RNA". It matches the Rfam family "Bacterial small subunit ribosomal RNA", at positions 28 to 142 of the family's 1533-position model. The record is from RNAcentral.
GACGAACGCUGGCGGCGUGCUUAACACAUGCAAGUCGAACGGUGAAGGUGGGAGCUUGCUCCUACCGGAUCAGUGGCGAACGGGUGAGUAACACGUGAGUAACCUGCCCCAGACUCUGGA